ACGGAAGGCAGCAGUGGGGAAUAUUGGACAAUGGGGGAAACCCUGAUCCAGCGACGCCGCGUGAGUGAAGAAGUAUUUCGGUAUGUAAAGCUCUAUCAGCAGGGAAGAUAAUGACGGUACCUGAAUAAGAAGCCCCGGCUAACUACGUGCCAGCAGCCGCGGUAAUACGUAGGGGGCAAGCGUUAUCCGGAUUUACUGGGUGUAAAGGGAGCGUAGACGGCAAGGCAAGUCUGAUGUGAAAACCCGGGGCUCAACCUCGGGACUGCGUUGGAAACUGUCUGGCUAGAGUGCAGGAGAGGUGAGUGGAAUUCCUAGUGUAGCGGUGAAAUGCGUAGAUAUUAGGAGGAACACCGGUGGCGAAGGCGGCUUACUGGACUGUAACUGACGUUGAGGCUCGAAAGCGUGGGUAGCAAACAGGAUUAGAUACCCUGGUA
RNAcentral lists this ribosomal RNA (434 nucleotides) under uncultured Lachnospiraceae bacterium. Its description in RNAcentral is "bacterial SSU rRNA". It matches the Rfam family "Bacterial small subunit ribosomal RNA", at positions 341 to 792 of the family's 1533-position model. The record is from RNAcentral. Lineage: Bacteria; Bacillati; Bacillota; Clostridia; Lachnospirales; Lachnospiraceae.